CUAUUACUCCUUUCGUCCGAAAAUACUUGUCUUAGAAAUAAAUGUAUCUAAAUGUACUUUAGUUUUUAGAUACAUUCAUUUUUAUUCAUUUAUACGACAAGUAAUUUGGGAGGGAGGGAGUAGAUC
Molecule: non-coding RNA, 126 nt
Organism: Hordeum vulgare subsp. vulgare (domesticated barley)
Lineage: Eukaryota; Viridiplantae; Streptophyta; Magnoliopsida; Poales; Poaceae
Source: Rfam